RNAcentral lists this ribosomal RNA (768 nucleotides) under uncultured bacterium. Its description in RNAcentral is "bacterial SSU rRNA". It matches the Rfam family "Bacterial small subunit ribosomal RNA", at positions 62 to 818 of the family's 1533-position model. The record is from RNAcentral.
UCGAGCGGUAGCUCCUAUUGGUUAAAGCCGAUAGGAGUGAGAGCGGCGCACGGGUGAGUAACACGUAGGUAACCUACCCCAGAGAGGGGGAUAACAUCUCGAAAGGGGUGCUAAACCCCCAUAUACUUACCGAGCGAGAUGCUCAGGUAAGGAAAGGGUAUAGAGGGGUAACCCUCUAUGCUGCUCUGGGAUGGGCCUGCGGCCUAUCAGCUAGUUGGUGGGGUAAAGGCCCACCAAGGCUAAGACGGGUAGCCGGCCUGAGAGGGUGGUCGGCCACACUGGGACUGAGACACGGCCCAGACUCCUACGGGAGGCAGCAGCCGGGAAUCUUCCGCAAUGGGGGAAACCCUGACGGAGCGACGCCGUGUGAGGGAAGAAGCCCUUCGGGGUGUAAACCUCUUUUCUCGGGGAAGAAGGCAUGACGGUACCCGAGAAAAAAGCCCCGGCUAACUACGUGCCAGCAGCCGCGGUAAGACGUAGGGGGCGAGCGUUGUCCGGAUUUACUGGGCGUAAAGGGCGUGUAGGCGGCUUAGCAAGUCAGAUGUGGAAGCCCCGGGCUCAACUCGGGGAGGACAUCUGAUACUGCUAAGCUAGAGGGCAGGAGAGGAGAGCGGAACUUCCGGUGUAGCGGUGAAAUGCGUAGAUAUCGGAAGGAACGCCGGUGGCGAAGGCGGCUCUCUGGACUGUCCCUGACGCUGAGGCGCGAAAGCUAGGGGAGCGAACGGGAUUAGAUACCCCGGUAGUCCUAGCCGUAAACGAUGGGCACUA